GGUGAGAUGGCCGAGUGGUUAUGGCGCUGCGUUCAGGAGACUACAGAUGUAGAUUAACUCUGAACAAGUUUCGCAGUGGAGCAAUCCGCGUGGGUUCGAGUCCCACUCUCAUCA
Molecule: non-coding RNA, 114 nt
Organism: Nemania sp. FL0916
Lineage: Eukaryota; Fungi; Ascomycota; Sordariomycetes; Xylariales; Xylariaceae
Source: the annotation of a GenBank genome assembly